This 133-nucleotide small nucleolar RNA is filed under the name Dasypus novemcinctus (nine-banded armadillo). RNAcentral's name for it is "Small nucleolar RNA SNORA31 (ENSDNOG00000041866.1)". It matches the Rfam family "Small nucleolar RNA SNORA31". Rfam says of the family: ACA31 (SNORA31) belongs to the H/ACA class of snoRNAs which are thought to guide the sites of modification of uridines to pseudouridines. The record is from RNAcentral. Lineage: Eukaryota; Metazoa; Chordata; Mammalia; Cingulata; Dasypodidae.
AUGCAUCUCUAACAGAUCUGGAGCAGCUAAUGUCUGCUGCUAAGGUUUCCACUAUAGAUGCAAGAAAAAGAAGGUCUUUGCGCUUUCUGUCAGUCUGGUUGUGGCAGCCAAGAUUGAAUGGGGGAGUACAGGA